This 115-nucleotide ribosomal RNA is filed under the name Oryctolagus cuniculus (rabbit). The record is from RNAcentral. Lineage: Eukaryota; Metazoa; Chordata; Mammalia; Lagomorpha; Leporidae.
GUUUACGGCCAUACCACACUGAACACACCCAAUCUCCGCUGGUCUUGGAAGCUAAGCAGGGUUGAGCCUGGUUAGUACUUGGGUGGGAGAAAUGUAUACUCUGUUGUGUUAAGCU